GAUGAACGCUGGCGGCGUGCCUAAUACAUGCGAGUCGAGCGAACAGAUGAGGAGCUUGCUCCUCUGACGUUAGCGGCGGACGGGUGAGUAACACGUGGAUAACCUACCUAUAAGACUGGGAUAACUUCGGGAAACCGGAGCUAAUACCGGAUAAUAUAUUGAACCGCAUGGUUCAAUAGUGAAAGACGGUUUUGCUGUCACUUAUAGAUGGAUCCGCGCCGCAUUAGCUAGUUGGUAAGGUAACGGCUUACCAAGGCAACGAUGAGUAGCCGACCUGAGAGGGUGAUCGGCCACACUGGAACUGAGACACGGUCCAGACUCCUACGGGAGGCAGCAGUAGGGAAUCUUCCGCAAUGGGCGAAAGCCUGACGGAGCAACGCCGCGUGAGUGAUGAAGGUCUUCGGAUCGUAAAACUCUGUUAUUAGGGAAGAACAAAUGUGUAAGUAACUAUGCACGUCUUGACGGUACCUAAUCAGAAAGCCACGGCUAACUACGUG
RNAcentral lists this ribosomal RNA (497 nucleotides) under uncultured bacterium. Its description in RNAcentral is "partial 16S ribosomal RNA". It matches the Rfam family "Bacterial small subunit ribosomal RNA", at positions 28 to 507 of the family's 1533-position model. The record is from RNAcentral.